Non-coding RNA from Schistosoma mansoni, 45 nucleotides. Lineage: Eukaryota; Metazoa; Platyhelminthes; Trematoda; Strigeidida; Schistosomatidae. The record is from Rfam.
AUCCAGCUGAUGAGUUCCAAAUAGGACGAAACGCGCGUCCUGGAU